GACGAACGCUGGCGGCGUGCUUAACACAUGCAAGUCGAGCGGAAAGGCCCGGCUUUUGUGGGGUGCUCGAGUGGCGAACGGGUGAGUAACACGUGAGUAAACUGCCCUUGACUUUGGGAUAACUUCAGGAGACUGGGGCUCAUACCGGAUAGGAGCUCCUGCUGCAUAGUGGGGGUUGGAAAGUUUCGGCGGUGGGGGAUGGACUCGCGGCUUAUCAGCUUGUUGGUGGGGUAGUGGCUUACCAAGGCUUUGACGGGUAGCAGGCCUGAGAGGGUGACCGGCCACAUUGGGACUGAGAUACGGCCCAGACUCCUACGGGAGGGAGCAGUGGGGAAUAUUGCAGAAUGGGCGGAAGCCUGAUGCAGCAACGCCGCGUGCGGGAUGACGGCCUUCGGGGUGUAAACCGUUUUCGCCUGUGACGAUGCGUGAGUGACGGUAAUGGGUAAAGAAGCACCGGCUAACUACGUG
Molecule: ribosomal RNA, 468 nt
Filed under: uncultured bacterium
Lineage: Bacteria
Description: partial 16S ribosomal RNA
Rfam family: Bacterial small subunit ribosomal RNA
Source: RNAcentral